ACUUGCCUAAACUGAGUAGUCGUGGUACUUCUUAUUUUCUGGACCUCAAAAAAGGGCAUACUAAAAAGAACGUAAACGUGUAUUUCCUCCAUGGCAACUGCUUGCAGUCAUUUCGCACACUGACAGGUGACACGAAUACAUCCAUCCAAUCUAAACCAAAACCUCAAACAACGCCGCGAAAAUGUGACAACUUCAACUACGAAACGGAAGGACUCUGUCAAGUUAGAUGUUUUGAUCUAAAGACCAUAUGUGCCAGGUCUAAACGUGAACACUGCGAUGAUUCGG
Long non-coding RNA from Solea solea (common sole), 285 nucleotides. RefSeq lists it as uncharacterized. The transcript has 3 exons. NCBI's taxonomy places the organism in Eukaryota, Metazoa, Chordata, Actinopteri, Pleuronectiformes, Soleidae. The record is from RefSeq and is a predicted model, not a curated record.